RNAcentral lists this ribosomal RNA (253 nucleotides) under uncultured bacterium. Its description in RNAcentral is "partial 16S ribosomal RNA". It matches the Rfam family "Bacterial small subunit ribosomal RNA", at positions 524 to 776 of the family's 1533-position model. The record is from RNAcentral.
UACGGGGGGUGCGAGCGUUAAUCGGAAUAACUGGGCGUAAAGGGCACGCAGGCGGACUUUUAAGUGAGGUGUGAAAUCCCCGGGCUUAACCUGGGAAUUGCAUUUCAUACUGGGAGUCUAGAGUACUUUCGGGAGGGGUAGAAUUCCACGUGUAGCGGUGAAAUGCGUAGAGAUGUGGAGGAAUACCGAAGUCGAAGGCAGCCCCUUGGGAAUGUACUGACGCUCAUGUGCGAAAGCGUGGGGAGCAACUAGG